GAAUUAAGGUGAAACCGCGAAAGGCUCAUUAAAUCAGUUAUGGUUCCUUAGAUCGUACCCACAUUUACUUGGAUAACUGUGGUAAUUCUAGAGCUAAUACAUGCAAACAGAGCUCCAACCGGAAACGGAAGGAGCGCUUUUAUUAGAUCAAAACCAAUCGGUGGCGGUCUCCGUCAUCGUACAACUUGGUGAAUCUGAAUAACUUUACGCUGAUCGCACGGUCUCGCACCGGCGACGCAUCUUUCAAAUGUCUGCCUUAUCAACUGUCGAUGGUAGGUUCUGCGCCUACCAUGGUUGUAACGGGUAACGGGGAAUCAGGGUUCGAUUCCGGAGAGGGAGCCUGAGAAACGGCUACCACAUCCAAGGAAGGCAGCAGGCGCGCAAAUUACCCACUCCCGGCACGGGGAGGUAGUGACGAAAAAUAACGAUACGGGACUCAUCCGAGGCCCCGUAAUCGGAAUGAGUACACUCUAAACCCUUUAACGAGGAUCAAUUGGAGGGCAAGUCUGGUGCCAGCAGCCGCGGUAAUUCCAGCUCCAAUAGCGUAUAUUAAAGUUGUUGCGGUUAAAAAGCUCGUAGUCGAAUUUGUGUCCCGCGCCGCCGGUUCAUCGUUCGCGGUGUUAACUGGCGUGCCGCGGGACGUCCUGCCGGUGGGCUUAGCUCGAAAGGGCGGCCCAACUCAAUCCCGCCGCGGUGCUCUUCAUUGAGUGUCGAGGUGGGCCGGCACGUUUACUUUGAACAAAUUAGAGUGCUUAAAGCAGGCUAAAACUUCGCCUGAAUACUGUGUGCAUGGAAUAAUGGAAUAGGACCUCGGUUCUAUUUUGUUGGUUUUCGGAACACCCGAGGUAAUGAUUAAUAGGAACGGAUGGUGGCAUUC
RNAcentral lists this ribosomal RNA (877 nucleotides) under Gonocephalum sp. COL160. RNAcentral describes it as "SSU rRNA". It matches the Rfam family "Eukaryotic small subunit ribosomal RNA", at positions 73 to 893 of the family's 1831-position model. Lineage: Eukaryota; Metazoa; Arthropoda; Insecta; Coleoptera; Tenebrionidae. The record is from RNAcentral.